GAAACUGACGAUUUAGCUUCGUUUCCGCCUAGAGGGUCGAGGCGACGUCGUAAGGUCAUGAAAAUGGACUGGUGGCACCGUGGCACAUAACCGCAGACCUAUAAUUUUCGGGGCUGCAAAGUGGAGCACGGUUGUGGCGCAGUUGCAAUAUUGGGCCAUGCCGGAUACGGGUGCCGCGAGAGGCUGAUUGCAAGUGUCGACAAGCAAUCGGAACGCGAUACAGGUGGGUUGUGUUUACCGAAGCGACUAGGUCGCCUAUAUGUCUAAGAAUGAGUAUUAUUAUUGAUGCAUGUAAUGGUAGCUAAUGAUAGAAUGUAUAAAUACAUGAAAAGAAUACUAUGUGGGCUACCAAAUAAUGCAUAUGGUCAUAAUGUAAGAAUGCUAAGUAAUGCAUAAUGACAUAGUGCGAAUAAUGUUAAGUGGAAAGCAUAAAGUAAAUGACAUAUGUUAGUCAUGUUGCAUGUGUAGAAAUGCUAAUGUAAGAAUGCAUGUAGAUAUGAAAUAAGAAUGCUAAAGAAAAUGUAUGACAAGCAUAUUGUGGAGAUCUUAAUGUAAAGAUGUUAGUAUAUGACAUGUGCAUGUGGACAUAUAUAUACACAUAGAUCGAGUGGCAUUGAACCUAGUAUCAUGAACCUAGGAAAGAUUGAGUGGCAU
RNAcentral lists this long non-coding RNA (654 nucleotides) under Ananas comosus (pineapple). RNAcentral's name for it is "long non-coding RNA (ACOM_LNC038583)". Lineage: Eukaryota; Viridiplantae; Streptophyta; Magnoliopsida; Poales; Bromeliaceae. The record is from RNAcentral.